RNAcentral lists this transfer RNA (57 nucleotides) under Salmo salar (Atlantic salmon). It matches the Rfam family "tRNA", at positions 8 to 63 of the family's 71-position model. Rfam says of the family: Transfer RNA (tRNA) molecules are approximately 80 nucleotides in length. Their secondary structure includes four short double-helical elements and three loops (D, anti-codon, and T loops). Further hydrogen bonds mediate the characteristic L-shaped molecular structure. tRNAs have two regions of fundamental functional importance: the anti-codon, which is responsible for specific mRNA codon recognition, and the 3' end, to which the tRNAs corresponding amino acid is attached (by aminoacyl-tRNA synthetases). tRNAs cope with the degeneracy of the genetic code in two manners: having more than one tRNA (with a specific anti-codon) for a particular amino acid; and 'wobble' base-pairing, i.e. permitting non-standard base-pairing at the 3rd anti-codon position. The record is from Rfam by way of RNAcentral. Lineage: Eukaryota; Metazoa; Chordata; Actinopteri; Salmoniformes; Salmonidae.
UAGCUCAGUUGGUAGAGCAUGGCACUUGCAAUGCAGAGUAUUGGGUUCGAUUCCCGG